Molecule: ribosomal RNA, 142 nt
Filed under: Saccharomonospora viridis
Lineage: Bacteria; Bacillati; Actinomycetota; Actinomycetes; Pseudonocardiales; Pseudonocardiaceae
Description: partial 23S ribosomal RNA
Source: RNAcentral
CGGAGUGGGUGAGAGUCCCGUACGUUUAAACUGCAUGUCCUUGAUUUGUUGGUGUCCCCAGUAGCAGCGAGCUUGUGGAAUUCGCUUGUAAUCUGCGGGACCACCCGGUAAGCCUAAAUACUUCCUGGUUACCCAUAGCGGA